AUUGAACGCUGGCGGCAGGCUUAACACAUGCAAGUCGAGCGGGGUGAUGGUGCUUGCACUAUCACUUAGCGGCGGACGGGUGAGUAAUGCUUAGGAAUCUGCCUAUUAGUGGGGGACAACAUCUCGAAAGGGAUGCUAAUACCGCAUACGUCCUACGGGAGAAAGCAGGGGAUCUUUAUGACCUUGCGCUAAUAGAUGAGCCUAAGUCGGAUUAGCUAGUUGGUGGGGUAAAGGCCUACCAAGGCGACGAUCUGUAGCGGGUCUGAGAGGAUGAUCCGCCACACUGGGACUGGGACACGGCCCAGACUCCUACGGGAGGCAGCAGUGGGGAAUAUUGGACAAUGGGGGGAACCCUGAUCUAGCCAUGCCGCGUGUGUGAAGAAGGCCUUAUGGUUGUAAAGCACUUUAAGCGAGGAGGAGGCUCUUUUGGUUAAUACCCAGAAUGAGUGGACGUUACUCGCAGAAUAAGCACCGGCUAACUCUGUGCCAGCCGCCGCAGUAA
This 502-nucleotide ribosomal RNA is filed under the name uncultured bacterium. RNAcentral describes it as "partial 16S ribosomal RNA". It matches the Rfam family "Bacterial small subunit ribosomal RNA", at positions 30 to 523 of the family's 1533-position model. The record is from RNAcentral.